RNAcentral lists this long non-coding RNA (835 nucleotides) under Cyclopterus lumpus (lumpfish). RNAcentral describes it as "lncRNA (ENSCLMG00005017781.1)". Lineage: Eukaryota; Metazoa; Chordata; Actinopteri; Perciformes; Cyclopteridae. The record is from RNAcentral.
GGUAAACCUAAGGCAAAUGAUUGCAUCUAAAAGAGGAGAAGCUUCCGCACUGCCUGACAGAUCCUUGAGCGGUACAGAAUCUGAGCCAGAGAGUGAGAAUAGAGUCCAGAGAAUUCCAUCCCUCCCGAAUGCUUUACCAUCCAGCAAAGCUCUGCAGCACCCAGUAGAUCCCUCUCCCAUGUCCUUCCUUUCCAAAGCACCUCAGACGACAUCUACCCCUCUUCCAAGCUACAGAAAGAAAGAAGAUUCCACUGGGGAUGAGGAUGUUAAUGAGGAGGAGGAGGAGGAGGAGGAGGAAGAUGAUGAAGAAGAAGAAGACGUCUCAGAUGAAAACGAUGAACCUGAAGAGAGCGGAGAGUCCCUUGACGCCACUCCAGCUGUUCCUGAAACAGAAGUCUCUAAAGAUAAGAAAAGAGAUUUCCUGUCCGAGCUGGGUCUAGAGAAGGGAGAGGAGGAGCAGGAUUCCUGGGACUCUGAGUCCCACUCCGAAAACCCCGAUAUGCCACGUGCAGAGAAACAAAGCCUGAACACUCAGAAUCAAGAACAGAUGACCACUGCUGAGCAGCAGAUUAAAGAAAUUGAGAUCAAUAAUGACGAUAACGGGGCUGCACAAGUUGAGAGAGACGAUUCUAUACAGAAAGAGACGGAGAAGGCAAAAUGGAAACCCCUCCGUGUUCUGAGCAAACUUGAAGGAGAUGGCGAACGAAAGACGGGUAAAAUGGUGUCACCUGGAGCAUCGUGGGUCCUGAUCUCACAUUUACGAAUGUAUUUGAAGAGGAGCUUGUUUGUGUUGAACACGGUGCUUUUUGUUUUACUUUGACAGACUUAAUGGAAG